UACGGAGGGAGCUAGCGUUGUUCGGAAUUACUGGGCGUAAAGCGCGCGUAGGCGGCUUUGUAAGUUAGAGGUGAAAGCCCGGGGCUCAACCCCGGAACUGCCUUUAAGACUGCAUCGCUUGAAUCCGGGAGAGGUGAGUGGAAUUCCGAGUGUAGAGGUGAAAUUCGUAGAUAUUCGCAGGAACACCAGUGGCGAAGGCGGCUUACUGGUCCAUUACUGACGCUGAGGUGCGAAAGCGUGGGGAGCAAACAGG
Molecule: ribosomal RNA, 253 nt
Filed under: uncultured bacterium
Lineage: Bacteria
Description: partial 16S ribosomal RNA
Rfam family: Bacterial small subunit ribosomal RNA
Source: RNAcentral